GCGUUGUUCGGAUUCAUUGGGCGUAAAGGGUGCGUAGGUGGCGCCGUAAGUGGGGUGUGAAAUUCCGGAGCUUAACUCCGAAACUGCAUUCCAUACUGCGGUGCUUGAGGACUGGAGAGGAGACUGGAAUUUACGGUGUAGCAGUGAAAUGCGUAGAGAUCGUAAGGAAGACCAGUGGCGAAGGCGGCCUGCUGGGCAGUAGCUGACACUGAGGCGCGACAGCGUG
Molecule: ribosomal RNA, 226 nt
Filed under: uncultured bacterium
Lineage: Bacteria
Description: partial 16S ribosomal RNA
Rfam family: Bacterial small subunit ribosomal RNA
Source: RNAcentral